AGCUUGAGCGUAAUGUUUUGAUUUAAGAUUCUUAUUACAUGUUCUUUAAUAUUAUAAUUAAGGCAUGAUAUAGGAGGGUGUUAACUAUUCCAUAGUCCGUGCUUGUGAGUUAUGAUGACAGCAUGCGAUCGAUUACCUGCAGUUCUGUAUACGGUGACCAGCUGCAGUAACAAAUUACAAAUACAGUAUUCUUUAAGAAAAGGUGGUAGUGAGUGAUCUAUAACAGUUGAAGCACAGGAUAUCUCAAAAAAUUAUCACCGCAGAGAUCAGGAGUACAGUUUUUUGGUUAUCCACAUGGACUUUUUUUUUAUAAAAAAAAAAUCUGAGUUACCUUCAAACACUUGUUGCUGAAGAUUUGAAUGCCCCUUUAUUAUGACAAACUGCUUGGGAAUCUGAUUGUGUUCAAGGACUACGGAAUAGCCACAAUGUCUAGGUUUUUUCUAACACUUCCUAUGGAUAUCAUUGCACAGACUGAUUUGGAUCCUUUAUGAAUUUGUGAAAGCAUGUCGGACUCAAUGCUCUUGAUCAUAUUUGCCUAUGAGCUGAUUUCCACGCACUAAUCAUAUUUGUCUAUAAGCUGAUUUCCCCCCGCACAAAAUAGCCUAAUUGGUCCCCUUUCUAUUAAUAAGUACAACCCUGUGAUCAGUUUCGUUGCUUGGUGGUUCAAUACUUCAAUCCCAUUUUAAUUUUAUUUUGCUCUUCUUGUUUCCAGAUGGCAACACUGGGAUUGCAGUUCGCCCUGAAGGAGGACCUCAAAGCCACAGAGAUUGAGGUGGGGGUUGUCAGGAAGGAUGAUCCAAUUUUCAGACUACUGACAGAGGCUGAAAUGAACGAGCACCUGAAAGCUAUCAACCCUGGCAAGCAGAGCUGAAGGCUGAACAGAACCAUCUGUCUGCCACUAGUCCUGCUGAAUCUUUUACAGCUCGUGAAAUCUUAACUGGUUACCGAUCACUGUACAGCAGCGCUGUGUAAUAAGAAUGCUAAAGCGCGAAAUUUUCCCUGGCUUAUUCCGGCUUGAACCGAUGUUGGUAGCACUGAAUUUUUCUACGAA
Molecule: long non-coding RNA, 1051 nt
Organism: Panicum virgatum (switchgrass)
Lineage: Eukaryota; Viridiplantae; Streptophyta; Magnoliopsida; Poales; Poaceae
Exons: 2
Source: RefSeq, a predicted model, not a curated record